Molecule: long non-coding RNA, 2555 nt
Organism: Helianthus annuus (common sunflower)
Lineage: Eukaryota; Viridiplantae; Streptophyta; Magnoliopsida; Asterales; Asteraceae
Exons: 7
Source: RefSeq, a predicted model, not a curated record
CUUUUCAUCCUCAAACUGUUUACCUUCAAAAUUUUAGUUUCCCUCCUAUCACUCUCAAACAUCAUACCCAAUUCAUCCUCAAACCGCACAAUGAACCUAAUUUCCGGUGAUCGUUAUGUGGUUCAGUCGCCAGAAGGGUUCAAUCGGCGUGUAAGAGUGUUUCAAUCGCCCUAGUUAAUUAUUGUUCUUCAAUUAAUUAAGUAGACAAACAGAUGUGGUUCUGAAAGGAUUUUUUAAACAAAUUAUCACUUUGUAUAACAAUUACCGUCGAUGCUUGAGAACAGUACCAAUCGACCAAAUUUGCAUCUUAUUUAUGGUACUGCCACAUAUUCCUUUUUUGUCCAUCAGAGAGAGACCAGAGAAUCGGCUAAAGGGAGAAGAAGAAAGAAAGAAAAUCGAAGCGAUAGAGAGAGAAAGCAUGAACGGAAGGGGAUCCGGCCAAGCCUACGACCGACCACCCUGUUUCGGUGAUUGUCGAUGGCUUAUGCCCCUGUUCUAGCGGCAACGGGUGUGGUUGAUAGCAGAAGUUAUGGCGAUGAUGGACUCAAACGGAAGGAGACACUGAGGUCAUAGAGGUCAGCAAUUAAGGUGUUCCAACAGAAAUCCGGUGAAUAAGAUCUGUCGUGCGUGUCCCGCUUUGGUGUACAUCGACAAACACCGAAGUACCGCUAUGGUAAGGUGUUUGACGAAAUGCCUUUAUACGUUUCUUUGGUUUUAAAGUUUCGACGGUUUGAUAUUAGUAGAUUUUAUUCAUUGCAACAUUUGCUGAAUGAUUACCCUUCAUUCAUAGCAGUUAAAGUCGGAAGACGCUCUCAAGGCGCAAAAAGUGAACACCACAUACAAAAAAAAGCGCAAGAUUUUUAUGCUAUAAUACUUCCAGAUAUUAACUAGUGAACACUCAUUGUUCAUUACAACAAUGUGACAAGUAAGAAAAUAUAUUUAAGCAUUAUGAUUUAAAAAGUGUCUUAAUGUGAAAGGUGUAGACAAUUUGCAAAGGUCUUGUAGAAACUUCACCAUGACACAACAAAGUAAGGUGUAGACCAUAUAUAGGUUCUAUAGUCAAAGCGCAUAAGGCGCACACUUGGUGCGCAAGCGAGGCGAUGGCGCCUAAGGUAGACCCAAGGUGACAACCUUGCUCUAUGUGCAACAAAAGCUCAGGAUCAGAAGAUUUCUUCAAUCAUUAAUCAGUGCACCAUGAAGUAAUUACUACUGCAAAGCUUUGCUUAUAUUUAUUUGAAAAGACUUGAAACUAUGUAUCAGAGGUAAGUUUUAUGUAUAUAUUUUAUUGUAGCCGCUUUGCAAAUACUCAUACAUGCAGCAUCAAAAGACAUCUUGGAAAAAAAGAUUCUUUCCUUGCGUCGUCGAUACUUUGCAUAAUACUGUGCACGGUUUUACGACUCACGUCCCCGCAACACGGAGGUUAAACACUAGUUCUAUAUAACAUUUCAAUAGUUAGAUGGAGCUGGACAAAAAUUACAUGAAUGUCUUGCCUAUCAAACCUGAAAAUUAGUUAACAAACCUGAUCGAACUAGACAACAAGGAGAUUCAAGGCUGUUAAUGGUCAUCAGUGAGUUCCAUAUCAUUGAGAGCCUGGUAUAUAUACGUUGUCAUUAAUUUUUAUCUUUGCUUAGUGAUCAUUACAUCAUAGUUGUCAAAAGCGCAAAAGGCGCGCGCCUAGGCGCUCGGGCGCAGCGAGUCGCGCCUAUAGCGCCUGGUGGUAGCUUAGGCGUAAAAAUGGUUUUUUUUUUUUUUUUGUAAAAACGGUGCUCAGGCGCAAAAGGCGCGCGCCUAGACAAUUUAUUUAUGACUAGUAUUUUCUAUUUAGAGUUUUCUAUUAGCUAAGUCGUUUAUAUUAAUGUGUAUCUAGAAGUGUUGUUCGCGCGUUAAGGAAAUGUGCAUGUCUCAAAAAAGUAUGCACACAGCCGACCCAAAAAAUUUUGCUAGAAUUCGCGAAGAAGUGAAGAGAUGCAUAGAAAUGAUGACUCAAACAAGGAAUUACCUAGUUAAACCAAAAUGUUUGAAGGUGCACCUACAAGGACCAAGGGUUGGGCAUACGAUGACACUGCGAUGAAAAUCGAACAAUUGAAGAACUUCAAAGCUCCAGAGGAGAUGGAAGUGCUUUAGUUGAUCAUUUUACAGACGGCACCUUUGACUUUAUAGCGGAUGUAUUCCUAAAAUAACGAUGAAAAAAUGGAUGGUGGUGUGGAUCCGUGGAAUCAUACAUAAUUUCGGGUGGGUUUAUGGAAUCAUUCAACGCGAGUCUUGAAGUUGAAAGAACACAACAAUGCGAAAAGAAAUUGAAUGGGCCAUCACAUGAAAAAAAACCUAAGCUAGAAGCUAUGUAGAAAGAUUAUCACAACCAACAAGCAAACUUUGAAGUUAUGAUGCGAAGUAUUAUGGAAAAGCUACCUAAUGGAGUAUUAUAGGAUCUUGGAGAUGAUUAGGAGGUUUUCUUUACUUUUUAUGAUUGUACUUCACAACUUUAUUAUGAUUACAUUGUUCUUUUGAUUUUGGACACCUUUUAUAUUACGAUAUAAGAUUAUCUUAUAUGAAUA